RNAcentral lists this long non-coding RNA (4426 nucleotides) under Jatropha curcas. Its description in RNAcentral is "long non-coding RNA (JCUR_LNC003609)". The record is from RNAcentral. Lineage: Eukaryota; Viridiplantae; Streptophyta; Magnoliopsida; Malpighiales; Euphorbiaceae.
UCAGGAGAAUCAGUAUCAAUACAUACCAUGUCCAAGAAAGGAAGAAGAACAUGAGGAUUAUUAGUAAGCAAAGGGUGGUUUUCUUUAGGAUUAGGAAAACGAACUCGGUUCAUCAAAGCAAAGGUUAGUGCUUUUAACCAAGUUGUGCCUGAUUUAGGAGUAGUAAUAAGGAAGAUAUCGCUUUCUUGAGCUUGAAAAUGGUUUUGACAAGUUACAACACCUUUUAGUAGCCUAGUUGAAUGCCAAAACCCUUGGUAUUGAUGGAGAUGAUUUGCGACCCAACCCUUUUCAGUUGGUAGGGAGACUAUGAAGUCUCUAAAAUCUUGAGAAAAUUCUUUUUAUUGCAAGUAAGCAGCAAGAGAUUCAAGUGUUUGCAUGGUUGUAGUAAAUUAUGGUCUAUAGUUAUUAUUUUCUUUGUGUUGUUCUUGGUUUGGUUAUGUAUGUAUAUACACAGCGGUUCCCAUUUGCAAUAUAUAUAAAAAUUACUAUAAUAUAUAAUAGUAAAUUACAAUUUAGUCUUUAAGGUUUGAUUAUAUCACAACUUCCAUCUCUCUUGUAAUGUUGCUUGAAUCGUAGAAAUAUUGACAAUAUUUUUUUAUCUAAAAAAUUAAAAUAUUAUACACACACAUAACCUAAGCGAUUUUAUGGAAUUAAAAAAAACCAACAAGCUCUGAACAAAUCUAGGUUAGGUUAAUAAUACAAAAUCAGACAAAUUUAUGUCUCUAUGAAUAUUUAAAAUUCAUGAAAAUUAUAUUCUAAAGUCCCAUUUCUGCAUUGUAUAUUGUAAUCCACUCUCAGCUACUUAUAGACACACUAGCAUCAUCAGGUGUAUAUAUAUAUAAUUUUCAAAUUAAAGUGCCACUAAUUGUUGAAUUAUUGCAUCCUCAAAAAAUAAAAAAUUGUUGAAUGAAGACAUAAUUGUACAUAAUAAUUAAUAAAGAUCCAAAGACGGUACAUUCGUAUUUAUAAUAAUUGACAAUGCAGCAGAAAAUGUAAACAAAUAUAAGCAAAACAACAAAUUCAUGGCUACUAAUACUACAAGAAAAAGAGGCAACAUUAUGCUUAUACUUGGAAAGAGAGUACCCUCAGUCAUAGUAAUAAGCCAGGGCAAUUUAUAUACAGAGUGAUAAUUAAAUAAUAUUAUAUUAUUAUUAUUAUUAUUAUUAUAAAUACCUUCUUUCCUUCGCAAGCAAUUUUUAUUACAUAUCAAUCUACAAGCAAAACAACCAUUGAUUAAUCUAAAUUCGUAUUUUAAAUGUUUUCCUUGUGUUGUUUUUGGUUUUGGUUAUGUGUUUAUAUACAGAGUGAUUCUCAUUUGCAAUAUAUAUAUAUAAAUUUCUCAAUAUAUAAAGGUAAGUAACUAUUUAGUCCCUCAAUUUCAAUCAUAUUAUAAUUUCAUCUCUCAUAUUUGGUAAAUAAAUAACCCUUUAAAAUUUUAGUUUCAUUAAACUAUUUAGUUUUUCUAUUUAAAAAAGUACUUAUUCAGAAGUUAAAUAUCUCGUACUACUUUUGAUUACUUGGUUAUUCAUUUUUAAUAUACUUUUACUAUUUAGUUUCUCACAUUUACUAUUGUAUUACAAUCUAGUCCUUCACUUAAUGGUACAAAUAGCACUUUUUGGAUGAAGAACUAUAAAUAGUUUAAUAGAACUAAACUAGGGAUGAAAUAAUAAUUACAAUCUUCUCUCUUUCAAUUUUAGUUAUCCUUUGUUACUUAUCAAUCCACUCUCAAUGAAUUAUAAUCAUUCAACUCAAUAAGAUGUUAACAUUGCUUAAAAUUUUUUAUUUUUAGUUUUUAAUUUCAUUAAAUGCUUCUCAAAAGUCAAAAUACAUAAAAUUUGAAAGUUUUGUAAAUUUUGGAAGAGCAAGAUGGACCAGGCCAGGCCCAAAUUAGGUGGGGCUUCUUGGGAUUUAGGCCUCGAUUGAGCCUUAGCUGUUACUUAAUGGUGAAAAUAACACUUUUGGAUGAAUAAUUAUAAAUAGUUUAAUAAAACUAACUUUAAGAUUAAUUAAUAUAUUUAUCAGGGACGUAAUAAUAAUUAUGACCAACUAUUAGUUAUUUAUUCUAUAAAUGUGAAAUUCCACCCCACUCAUUCUUAGGUAUCUAUCUCUAUUUUGUCAGGACAUCUUGCUGAUAGUGAGCCAAGCACCUAAGCUUUGCUAAUUAAUUAUUGUGGUCUUAUUUAGUAAUUUGAUAAUAUUUUUUAUCUAAAAAAUGAUUUUAUUCAUUAAAAAACAAGAUUUGUAUGCACACAUAUAAGCAAGAAUAAGUAAAAAUUUUUAAGUCAUGACCUAAGGGAUACUAUUAAAAUUAAAACGAACUGACUACAUCCAAAUAAAUCGAAUUAUGUUAGAUUUUUUUUUUUUUGAAUAUUAGGAGAGCAGAUUCGAACAUGAAUCUAUUGUCAGAUCAUAAAUACACUUACUCUUAAAUUAUAUCUUGAUGUACCGAAUUAAGUUAGAUCAGCAAUAUAAUAAAGCAAUAGUAAAAUAAGACAAAUUAUGUCUAUUAAUACUAAAAAUUCUAGAAAAUUAGAUACCUCUCUUCUUCUCUAUAUAUAUCUAUCUAUAGUAGCUUGAUAAAAAAAAUAUCUACCAAUUUCACUUAAAUUAAUCAACUUAUGUGCAGCUUGAUUUCCUUUACGAAAAAAAUGCAAGAUAGUAUCUUAUCAUUCACUGUGUAGGAACUGAUGAAUACUAUCAUUAUUGUCUUUUGUAACUUGAAAGUAAUUAGAAAGUUGAUUAGCAUAUUAAACACAUUAAAAUUAUACUUUUAAAAAAAUAAUUUACUUGGAAGUGCACUUCUCAUAAAGUAUUCUUCUUGGAAAAUAGAUUGUUUGAAAUCAAACAAGGCCUUUGUUUUCACCACCCAACUUUCCUAAGCAUCUUAGUAUUCUGGAAAAUACUUAUUUAGACCGGAUUUAUAAUUACAUCUUAAAUCCUUUUUGUGUGAUUUAGCAUGUAAAUGGAAGAAUAUUUAAUUAUUUAUUCUAUCUUUUUUGUGUAUCAAAAACCUUUAAUGGAAAGUGAUAGUUGUUCCAGAAGUCGUACUAUACUGUUAUAUAAUGAGAUCAAAUUAAAAUUAAAAAUUUCACAAAUUGGUCAAUUAAUUUUAUAGUGCUUUUUUAAGUAUCUCGAAGAUUAAAAAUGUUGCUAUAUGAUUAUUAAUUAUUUUCAAGCAAUUUUUUUUUUUUUUACAUUGUUUGCUAUUUGAUGACUUUUAGUGAUUAAUCAAUUUAAUCAUUUUAUAAUAAUCACCAUGUUAAUUAGCCUUGCAAAAUUACAGAAACCCUAAUAUUGGCUUAUUAUCCACUAGCAAAUGAAUAAUUAAACUGGAAAGUUAACAAUGAUAAUUCAAUCAUUUAGAAAAUUUUAAUUAAAUAUUAUUUUCUUUUCAAAUGAAGAUAUUAUUGUACAUAAUAAUUAACAAAGAUCCAAAGAUGGUACAUUCGUAUUUAUAAUAAUUGACAAUGCAACAGAAAAUGUAAACAAAUAUAAGCAAAACAACAGAUUCAUGGUUACUAAUACUUCAAGAACAAGAGGCAACACUAUGCUUAUACUUAGAAAGAGAGUACCCUCAAUCAUAGUAAUAAACCAGGCAACUUUUCUUUAGUGAUGUGGUCCAAUUUUUCCAUCAUCUCAUUUGUCAGGUAAUUCUUGUAAUCUCCUAUCACACCCCGCCGGAAAAAGACGCUAUUUUCCUGGCCGGACGGUAAUUUUCCGAUUUUGUUCACCUCUAAAUUGCUCAAAUUAUCAAAACUACACAAAUUUAAGAUUUCAUCAAUUACUCCGCAAUUUUCUUCUUCUUUUGAAAAUGGACACUUUAAAAAUUCAGAUAAUUUCUUUAAAUGGAAUUUAGGAUCUUUCUUCAAAUCUUCAUAUUUCAAAAACAAAACCCUUUUAGGAUUUUCCAAACUUUGCUUCCAAUACCCCAAAACAUGAUCCCAAAAUGGCCCAUAAAAACUCAGACCUCUACAAAACUUAUCAAAAGCAUCUUCAAGUGAAUUUUCACCUUUGUCUUUAGGCCUUAACCUAUUUGUAAAAUGAUAAAAAGAAAUAAAAGUGUCUUUGGUGUUUCUACACAAGUAAACAAUCUUACAGCCCAAGUCUUCCACAGAUUUUGGAAGAGACGAAAGCGGCAAAUGGGUAGAAAACAAUCUUGGAGAGGUAAAACUAGAAAAAUCAGGAGAAUCAGUAUCAAUACAUACCAUGUCCAAGAAAGGAAGAAGAACAUGAGGAUUAUUAGUAAGCAAAGGGUGGUUUUCUUUAGGAUUAGGAAAACGAACUCGGUUCAUCAAAGCAAAGGUUAGUGCUUUUAACCAAGUUGUGCCUGAUUUAGGAGUGGUAACAAGGAAUAUAUCACUUUCUUGAGCUUGAAAAUGGUUUUGACAAGCUAUAACACCUUUUAAUCUCCUAGUUGAUGGAUACC